Molecule: ribosomal RNA, 400 nt
Filed under: uncultured bacterium
Lineage: Bacteria
Description: bacterial SSU rRNA
Rfam family: Bacterial small subunit ribosomal RNA
Source: RNAcentral
UAGGGAAUAUUGGGCAAUGGGCGAAAGCCUGACCCAGCCAUGCCGCGUGCAGGAAGAAGGUCCUCUGGAUUGUAAACUGCUUUUGUCGAGGACGAAAAAGGCGCUGCGGCGCAAAUUGACGGUAUUCGACGAAUAAGCCACGGCUAACUACGUGCCAGCAGCCGCGGUAAUACGUAGGUGGCAAGCGUUGUCCGGAUUUAUUGGGUUUAAAGGGUGCGUAGGUGGCUUGGUAAGUCAGCGGUGAAAGACGGUCGCUUAACGAUUGCAGUGCCGUUGAUACUGCCGAGCUUGAGUAAAGAUGAGGUAGGCGGAACGGAUAGUGUAGCGGUGAAAUGCAUAGAUAUUAUCCAGAACACCGAUUGCGAAGGCAGCUUACUGGACUUUAACUGACACUGAGGCA